Molecule: long non-coding RNA, 537 nt
Organism: Lepidothrix coronata (blue-crowned manakin)
Lineage: Eukaryota; Metazoa; Chordata; Aves; Passeriformes; Pipridae
Exons: 4
Source: RefSeq, a predicted model, not a curated record
CUUUGUACACACCAGGUGUGGUCUUCAAUCUUAUCAUCUCGUUAUUGUGAAGUCUGUGAUCUGCUCCAGGGAUUAAUUAGAGCUGGGGUCCAUCUUUAGCUGGACUUGCCAAGCCCUCUUCCCUUAUAAUUAAAAGUUCCAGUAGCUGCAAGUAGGCAUCUAGGAGAACAAGUUUUGUACACUUUUCUGAGAUACUCAUGUGAUCUCCAGGCCACUUUGCCAUAUAUGAAGACAUACCUGGCUUGAAAUCAGAGGGUUUGGAAGCUGGAAGGCUGCAAGCAGUGCAUGAUUAAACAAGAAGGAAAGUCACUGUCAGCAGACCAGGCUGCUGAACUCCAGUGCCUGUAAAAACACAGCACGUGUAGGUGCUCCAAGAGUGGAGGUACUCUGAGGAAAGCCCACAAACAUCACAUGGAAGGUCUUCCCUGUCUUUGUUAAAUGUGUGUACCUUCUGAACAUUGUCCAGUGACAGUGAGACAGCAUAAUUUUAGUGAGGUGGCAGUUGCUACAGAAACUGGUCGCUGGAAGAGUCACACA